This 501-nucleotide ribosomal RNA is filed under the name uncultured bacterium. Its description in RNAcentral is "partial 16S ribosomal RNA". It matches the Rfam family "Bacterial small subunit ribosomal RNA", at positions 30 to 523 of the family's 1533-position model. The record is from RNAcentral.
AUUGAACGCUGGCGGCAGGCUUAACACAUGCAAGUCGAGCGGAGAUGAGGUGCUUGCACCUUAUCUUAGCGGCGGACGGGUGAGUAAUGCUUAGGAAUCUGCCUAUUAGUGGGGGACAACAUUCCGAAAGGAAUGCUAAUACCGCAUACGUCCUACGGGAGAAAGCAGGGGAUCUUCGGACCUUGCGCUAAUAGAUGAGCCUAAGUCGGAUUAGCUAGUUGGUGGGGUAAAGGCCUACCAAGGCGACGAUCUGUAGCGGGUCUGAGAGGAUGAUCCGCCACACGGGGACUGAGACACGGCCCAGACUCCUACGGGAGGCAGCAGUGGGGAAUAUUGGACAAUGGGGGGGACCCUGAUCCAGCCAUGCCGCGUGUGUGAAGAAGGCCUUAUGGUUGUAAAGCACUUUAAGCGAGGAGGAGGCUACUGAGACUAAUACUCUUGGAUAGUGGACGUUACUCGCAGAAUAAGCACCGGCUAACUCUGUGCCAGCAGCCGCGGUAA